AUCCUGUUGUAGCUCUUAAGAGUGAUGUCUGGGUUUUCAUGCUUAUGUGUAAGCUGUGCUCCCUCUAACUUUGUUAUGAUAUCAGUAUAUUAGAUCUGGCA
Molecule: small nucleolar RNA, 101 nt
Organism: Otolemur garnettii (small-eared galago)
Lineage: Eukaryota; Metazoa; Chordata; Mammalia; Primates; Galagidae
Source: Ensembl